GUGUGUGUCCCCUCCCCUUCGCUUCCACAGACACUGUCCUCGCAGCCCCUUGUGGCCACAACGUCUCGAGGUUUCCCACCUGCCACAGAACAUGCUUCUUAGUACCCCUUGGAAACUGACUGAAUUUAACGAAUUAAAUUUUCACAACUGUACAAGUUCUACUUCUUCCCGUACUGUGAGUUUUGGUGAGUGUUCUCUAUUCAGCUUUUGUGCCACUUUGUGCCUCUGUAAACUUCGUCUGUGCCUCUCUGUUCCCUUAUGCAACCCCACUCCCAGCUUCUCUGGACCUGCCCUAACUCCCCUAAGCCCAUCCUGUGAUGUGGUGACUGCACCUUAGUGCAGCACUCAAGAUACAAGUGCACCAGCAGUUUACUUCACAGCAAAACAACCAUCUCUGUCUUGUCCUGGCAAUGCACAGCAUUUUAUUGCUUCUCCAACUGCCCCAGAACAGAGCCUGUGUCUCCAGAUACAGUCACAAACACCUUGACAUCUGUCCUGCAGUGCAACUGUCAGAUUCCAGUUCAGCCCUUGGCAGAUCACGUUCAGGCCACUUCAGACUAUAUGAUGGGACCUUUUUACGAUAAUGUCCUGCUGCCAGUCUGUCCUCCCAUCCUGGCAGAUCCCUUAGCACAGCAGCCAUCACCUGCCAGCAGAGGAGGUGACUAAUUACUCUUCUGGUUAUUGGUAGUGGCUGGAGUGAAGGCAGGUGUCCAGGAUCUCACUCAUGCACAAGUGUCAGCGGUCCUCAGGGCUGGUGGGGGCAGAGCUGAUUCAGGAAAGGGAGAAAAGUAAACAGCAGGACAAUUUGGAAAUACAGAAAACUCCACAUUCAGAACAAAGGCUUUUAUUCAAGAGUUUGACCAAAUACAGCCUGUAAAAGCUCUUUGCUUUUACAGAAGAGAAAAAAAAAAAAGGCAAAGAAAUACUGUAGUUACAUUUAGGAAAACACAUUUUUGGGACAACAGUUACACUGUAAGGUCUCAGACACAGCACCUGAAUAUGUGCCCUGAGAGGUCCAAAUUUGUCUCUAAGAUGCAGAAAUACAUUUCCUCAAUCUGUCAGUUUGGUGGCAGCUGUAAGACUGUUUCACCCUUCGUCUCUACAGGAGCAACAGCAAUAACACUAUAGACUUUAUAUGGUGAAAAGCUUAUAAACUGCAUCUCAGCACUGUGGGAAAACAUUCUCCUCAACACUUCACGUGAGUCCACAAAGGACUGGAGAUCUGAAAAUGCAUCUUAAAAUUUACUUAGGUUGAGAGAAGGAAAACAAAAGAACCAUUGUUUCAAUGUCCAGUUCACAUAGAGGGGGCAGAAGUUGUGUGCUAAGUUAGAAAAUGGGGAAACCAUAGGGAGCUUAGGACGAGGACCCUGGAGAUAGUGCAAGUGCUUAGCAGUGAGGCUGUUGCAUACACCUUUUCAUCUGUGUGAAAAAGGCAUAUUGUGUGUGUGGCUCUACGCAGAUAUUUACUAUAUGUAAUGUGCUAGGUAGAAAAGUUAUGCAGUAUUAACAUUUUAAUAAUAUAGUAAAUGUAGUUUUUAACAUUGAAUCUAAGUAAAAAUUGUGUGUAAGGUAUUUUCCUUAGCUCAAGAGAAAAGAGAAGAUAACCCGGAGGUUUCUGCACAGAGAGAACAAUUACAACAAG
Long non-coding RNA from Prinia subflava (tawny-flanked prinia), 1642 nucleotides. RefSeq lists it as uncharacterized. Lineage: Eukaryota; Metazoa; Chordata; Aves; Passeriformes; Cisticolidae. The transcript has 2 exons. The record is from RefSeq and is a predicted model, not a curated record.